GCGCCAGUAGCUCAGUUGGUUAGAGCAGGUGUCUUAUACACACCCGGUCGUAGGUUCAAGUCCUGCCUGGCGUA
Molecule: transfer RNA, 74 nt
Filed under: Propionibacteriaceae bacterium
Lineage: Bacteria; Bacillati; Actinomycetota; Actinomycetes; Propionibacteriales; Propionibacteriaceae
Description: tRNA-Ile
Rfam family: tRNA
About the family: Transfer RNA (tRNA) molecules are approximately 80 nucleotides in length. Their secondary structure includes four short double-helical elements and three loops (D, anti-codon, and T loops).
Source: RNAcentral